Molecule: ribosomal RNA, 471 nt
Filed under: uncultured Sphingomonas sp.
Lineage: Bacteria; Pseudomonadati; Pseudomonadota; Alphaproteobacteria; Sphingomonadales; Sphingomonadaceae
Description: bacterial SSU rRNA
Rfam family: Bacterial small subunit ribosomal RNA
Source: RNAcentral
GUUUGAUCCUGGCUCANAACGAACGCUGGCGGCAUGCCUAACACAUGCAAGUCGAACGAUGCCUUCGGGCAUAGUGGCGCACGGGUGCGUAACGCGUGGGAAUCUGCCUCUUGCUUCGGAGUAACAGUUAGAAAUGACUGCUAAUACCGGAUGAUGUCUUCGGACCAAAGAUUUAUCGGCAAGAGAUGAGCCCGCGUAGGAUUAGGUAGUUGGUGGGGUAAAGGCCUACCAAGCCGACGAUCCUUAGCUGGUCUGAGAGGAUGAUCAGCCACACUGGGACUGAGACACGGCCCAGACUCCUACGGGAGGCAGCAGUGGGGAAUAUUGGACAAUGGGCGCAAGCCUGAUCUAGCGAUGCCGCGUGUGUGAUGAAGGUCUUAGGAUCGUAAAGCACUUUCACCAGGGAUGAUAAUGACAGUACCUGGAAAAGAAACCCCGGCUAACUCCGUGCCAGCAGCCGCGGUAAUAAGG